GGCCUUUUGUUUAUAAUUUAAGGUCUAGCCUGCCCACUGAAUUUUAAAGGGCCGCGGUACCCUGACCGUGCUAAGGUAGCAUAAUCAUUAGUUUUUUAAUUGAAAGCUGGAAUGAAUGGUUGGAUGAGAAAAUAACUGUCUCUGUUUAAUUUUAAUUGAAUUUUAUUUUUAAGUCAGAAAGCUUAAAUUUUUUUAAAAGACGAGAAGACCCUAUAGAGUUUUAUAAAAAAUUAAAUAUAAUUUUUUAGAAUUAUAACCUUAUUUUUAAUUUUUUAUUUGAUUGGGGCGAUUGGGAAAUUAAGUAAACUUUUCUUUGUGAGGAAUAUUAAUUAAUAGAUUUUUGAUCCAUAUAUUAUGAUUAUAAGAUUAAAUUACCUUAGGGAUAACAGCGUAAUUCUUUUUGAGAGUUCAAAUCGAAAGAAGAGUUUGCGACCUCGAUGUUGGAUUAAAAUUAAUUUUUGGUGUAGAGGCUAAAAAUAUUAGGUCUGUUCGACCUUUAAAAUUU
RNAcentral lists this ribosomal RNA (505 nucleotides) under Lamiomimus gottschei. RNAcentral describes it as "partial 16S ribosomal RNA". It matches the Rfam family "Bacterial large subunit ribosomal RNA", at positions 1829 to 2596 of the family's 2925-position model. The record is from RNAcentral. Lineage: Eukaryota; Metazoa; Arthropoda; Insecta; Coleoptera; Cerambycidae.